Molecule: non-coding RNA, 22 nt
Filed under: Arabidopsis thaliana (thale cress)
Lineage: Eukaryota; Viridiplantae; Streptophyta; Magnoliopsida; Brassicales; Brassicaceae
Source: RNAcentral
AUGACAUUUUCAAAGUUCAUGC